This is a non-coding RNA of Castor canadensis (American beaver), 893 nucleotides long. The record is from RefSeq and is a predicted model, not a curated record. Lineage: Eukaryota; Metazoa; Chordata; Mammalia; Rodentia; Castoridae.
UCUUCCGGUGUCUCUGACAGGGUUUUCUAAGCCACUUCUCCGGCGACUUUUUGGUCUUCCGCUUUUUGCCACCGCCCCCAACUUUCCCACUCGUGCGGGCCCUGCCUUUUCUUGUGUCGCUCCUCCCCUGGCAGCCGCGCCCGGGCCUCACACCGCCAUUCGGCACCAAGCUAGGCCUGUACUCGUCCCGCGGACCACCACUACCUCCUUAGGCUCGGGCGACAGCUGGGGCGGGCGCGCCCCGUCGGUGGGUCCGACUCAGCUAUUCCCCACGGACGCUUAUGAGUUCGGAGGUUUUCGGAGAGGGACUCAGCCCGGUAGGCCCUGGUCGGGGGCGGGGUGCGCGAAACUUUUUUUUUUUUUUUGAGAUUGUUACACUUUUGUGUCGUACCGGAGGUCCCGGCCAUACCUCGUAGGUCGGAGGAGAAGUAGUAGCGCUUAUUCCUCCCACUCCUCUUCCCGGGGUCCCGUUUCCAGCCCCCUGCCCGCCCUGCCCGCGGCCCCGGACCCAGAGGACGGCGGCGGGACUCCGCGUGGUGUUUGACGAGGCGGCGGAGAGCUAAGGUGCGUGUGUGCGGGUAGAAGAAUACAUGAUUACUUUCAGUAAAGAAGAGCAUGUUCCCAAACUCAAUUUUGGGUCGUCCGCCCUUCACUCCAAACCAUCAGCAGCAUAACUUCUUUGCCCUGUCACCAACUCUUUAUUCACACCAGCAGCUUAUAGAUGCUCAGUUCAACUUCCAGAAUGCAGACUUGUCCAGAGCUGUGUCACUACAACAGCUGACAUAUGGAAAUAUCAGUCCAAUACAGACCUCAACAUCCCCAUUAUUUCGAGGAAGAAAGUAAGUACCUUUCAAUUUUUUUUGCAGUCCUGAAAACUCUAUUAUAGUUGUAUA